This 372-nucleotide ribosomal RNA is filed under the name uncultured organism. RNAcentral describes it as "bacterial SSU rRNA". It matches the Rfam family "Bacterial small subunit ribosomal RNA", at positions 526 to 896 of the family's 1533-position model. The record is from RNAcentral.
CGGAGGGUGCAAGCGUUGCUCGGAAUUAUUGGGCGUAAAGGGUUGGUAGGUGGUCUCAUUUGUCUGGGGUGAAAGCCUUGAGCUUAACUCAAGAAGUGCCCCAGAAACGGUGAGACUCGAGUCCUGGAGAGGGUCGUGGAAUUCCCGGUGUAGCGGUGAAAUGCGUAGAGAUCGGGAGGAACACCAGAGGCGAAGGCGGCGACCUGGACAGGUACUGACACUCAACUACGAAAGCGUGGGGAGCAAACAGGAUUAGAUACCCUGGUAGUCCACGCUGUAAACGAUGGGUACUAGAUUUGGUGGGUCUUGACCCCUGCCGAGUCGGAGCUAACGCAAUAAGUACCCCGCCUGGGAAGUACGGUCGCAAGACUA